GAUGAACGCUGGCGGCGUGCCUAAUACAUGCAAGUCGAGCGAACAGACGAGGAGCUUGCUCCUCUGACGUUAGCGGCGGAAGGGUGAGUAACACGUGGAUAACCUACCUAUAAGACUGGGAUAACUUCGGGAAACCGGAGCUAAUACCGGAUAAUAUAUUGAACCGCAUGGUUCAAUAGUGAAAGACGGUUUUGCUGUCACUUAUAGAUGGAUCCCCGCCGCAUUAGCUAGUUGGUAAGGUAACGGCCUACCAAGGCAACGAUCCGUAGCCGACCUGAGAGAGUGAUCGGCGACACUGGAACUGAGACACGGUCCAGGCGCCUACGGGAGGCAGCAGUAGGGAAUCUUCCGCAAUGGGCGAGAGCCUUACGGAGUAACGCCGCGUGAGUGAUGAAGGUCUUCGGAUCGUAAAACUCUGUUAUUAGGGAAGAACAACUGUGUAAGUAACCAUGCACGUCGUGACGGUACCUAAUCAGAAAGCCACGGCUAACUACGUG
RNAcentral lists this ribosomal RNA (497 nucleotides) under uncultured bacterium. RNAcentral's name for it is "partial 16S ribosomal RNA". It matches the Rfam family "Bacterial small subunit ribosomal RNA", at positions 28 to 507 of the family's 1533-position model. The record is from RNAcentral.